GGAUGAACGCUGGCGGCGUGCCUAAUCCAUGCAAGUCGAGCGAACAGACGAGGAGCUUGCUCCUCUGACGUUCGCGGCGGACGGGUGAGUAACACGUGGAUAACCUACCUAUAAGACUGGGAUAACUUCGGGAAACCGGAGCUAAUACCGGAUAAUAUAUUGAACCGCAUGGUUCAAUAGUGAAAGACGGUUUUGCUGUCACUUAUAGAUGGAUCCGCGCCGCAUUAGCUAGUUGGUAAGGUAACGGCUUACCAAGGCAACGAUGCGUAGCCGACCUGAGAGGGUGAACAGCGACACGGGCAACGAGACAGGGUCCAGACUCAUAGGGGAGGCAGCAGUAGAGGAGCUGCCGCUAGAGGUGAAAGCCUGUCGGAGAAACGUGGCGUGAGAGAUGAAGGUGACCGGAACGUAAAACGAUGUUAUGAAGGAAGAACAAAGGUGCUAGUAACAAUGCACGUCUUGACGGUACCUAAGGAGAAAGGCACGGCUUACUACGUG
Molecule: ribosomal RNA, 498 nt
Filed under: uncultured bacterium
Lineage: Bacteria
Description: partial 16S ribosomal RNA
Rfam family: Bacterial small subunit ribosomal RNA
Source: RNAcentral